AUUACUGCUAAUGCUCCAUAACUAACCCUCUGAAAUCUCAUAUUUCACUCCCUGUUGUGCAGUCAAACAGUUUAACUCUGUGACCCAAGGAACCACCAUCGCUAUGGUCUGCCACUAUAGAUUUUCUUCACUCUUAGGAAUAAGCAGUUCUUCAGACUCAAGUGCCUGAAGUUGAUAAGCAAUCUGAAUGCCUGCUGAGGACUAAAGUUAUUAUUAAACAUCUGAAAGUAAAGAAAAAUUUACAUACAGAUUUGAAUUCCACACAACUGGAUGGGGAAGAUUUGUGCCUUCACUCAAGCCCACAUUCUUAAACUUGCUGGUGGUAACUGCAGUGGAACAAGGGAUGUGCUUCAAGGUGAAAAUGUAUCAGACAGAAUUCCUUUUGAAAGCUUGAGUUUUGCAGUUUAACUUUGAGUAAACAAUUUGUCAGUGUCUAAUUAUUGUGGAUCUAUUUGCCUUGGUGCAUACUGGCUACCAUUAAAAAUGC
This 487-nucleotide long non-coding RNA is filed under the name Gallus gallus (chicken). Its description in RNAcentral is "lncRNA (ENSGALG00010021403.1)". The record is from RNAcentral. Lineage: Eukaryota; Metazoa; Chordata; Aves; Galliformes; Phasianidae.